GACGAACCGAGCGAACGUUGUUCGGAAUAACUGGGCUUAAAGGGCGCGUAGGCGGGCCGCCAAGUUCGAGGUGAAAUCCUCCGGCUCAACCGGAGAACUGCCUCGAAUACUGGAGGUCUCGAGGGUGGUAGGGGCAUGCGGAACUGUGGGUGGAGCGGUGAAAUGCGUUGAUAUCCACAGGAACUCCGGUGGCGAAGGCGGCAUGCUGGACCACAUCUGACGCUGAGGCGCGAAAGCCAGGGGGGCAAACGGG
This 253-nucleotide ribosomal RNA is filed under the name uncultured bacterium. Its description in RNAcentral is "partial 16S ribosomal RNA". It matches the Rfam family "Bacterial small subunit ribosomal RNA", at positions 524 to 776 of the family's 1533-position model. The record is from RNAcentral.